This is a long non-coding RNA of Melopsittacus undulatus (budgerigar), 1816 nucleotides long. NCBI's taxonomy places the organism in Eukaryota, Metazoa, Chordata, Aves, Psittaciformes, Psittaculidae. The record is from Ensembl.
AGAGUUCUGACAUGAGGAAGUGACAAUCUUCCAAGAGCCAAUGUGGAAACAUGGGAGAGCCUCAUGCCUCUUACAACUUGUGCUUACCUGAGGUCUUCCCUUGAUUAUCUUUUUUCUUUAAUUUCAUGUCAGAGUCUUCACCCAGUCAGGCAGUGCUGCCCAGGUAAUUGCUAGCAACGCCUACAGGACUCUUUCAAGCAUGAGAAGGCUAUUUGGAUCACACAACCCUGCCAGCCUGAGGAGCUUGGCUCUGGCUCCUCUUCCUACAGCAGGACGUUGUGAGGAGGUUCUUGACCUUCCUGGUGGUGGGUGUUCCCCAAGCUCUGUCCACCCCAGCUUUGCUCUCAGCCACAGCUCCAGGAAACUGCUAUGGAGACGGCUCUUUGCCACCCCUUGGAUGCUCCUGAGGUUUCCAGAGAGGAAGACAGCCAGCCUGAGACUGCUGCAACACAGAGGCAAGUCCUAGGGGCUGGGGUCAGUGUUGAUGACUGUAGGGAAGAGUGAUGGGGUCCAGGGAGAGUGAGGAUAGGGGAUAAACCACAGAGCCAAGGGGCUGCUGGAGCAGAUGUGUACAGUUGAAGAGGUAUAGUGUGUGGAAAGAAGGAUACUUGUGAAGAGAGGAGGAGUCUGCUUGGUGAGGAAAUGAGGCUGGGGAGCUUGAAGGGUCAUUGCAGUGCCCAGUACCAGAGUAUCAGAGGUGGAUGUGGGAUGGUGAGAAAGGGCUGGAGGGAAGCCACAGCAAAAGAGGAGGGGGAGAAGUACUGCACUCCUCUUGUGCAGCAGAGUCCCUGUGUGGGGUGGUCAUUGGAGAUUAUGGGGAGUUCAAAGGGGCCUGGACAUGGGAGGACAGGAUGCACCUCAUGUUCUGUCAUCUGUACUUGAGGGGUGUGUAGUUGUAUGAGGAGAGUAGAGAAGGCUGGGAGCUAUGUGGAAAAGGACCAGGGCUGCCAAGUUGGAAGUGGAGACUGGAGUGUCUCCAUGAGACGCAGUGGAGGUUGGAGGAAGCAGGAACACAUGGGGCACAGGAACGAUCAUGUGUGUGAAGCAGCAUCAGUGGAUGGAAGGGGUUGAAAGCUGAGUGGGGCUUGGGAAGCCUAGGAGGGGUAUAUGAGGGCAUACUGGCUAGCGCUGGGAAUGCGGGUGUGUGAGCUAUAUAAGGCAGUAUAUAAAGUGAUGUGGAUAUAAAGUAAAAAUCUGAACCUAUCCACAGCAAGUAGGGCUGUGCAUGGCUGGGAAGGUGCUGAGGGGGUGCAGUCCCAGGGAAAUGCUCCCGGAAGAGAUGUGGUGCAGCAGGAGCGGCAGUGGCUCUCUGGGCAUGGGGAGAGGGGAGGAGGGGUGCGGGUGGGGGCCAGGGGCUGGUGGAGGUCAGUUCUAGCCCGGGGGAGGUCUCAUAUCAGUGCGGGAUCCAGAGCGGGGGCAAGGUGCGGGCCUGUACGCGGCAGGCCUCUGGGCUGCGGAUGUGCGGGUCCGUGCAGCGCGCAGGGUGCCCGCUGAUACCCGCUCCACGUUGGGGCCUCAGUCGGGGCUCGAUGCGCGGCAUGGCCCCGUGGGGAGCCGGUUCCGGUUCCGGCGGAGCCUGAGCCGGGGCGGCGGGCGGGCUGCUGGGCGGGGGAGGAGCCGCCGGAGCCCGAGCUUGCGCUCUGGAGCCGGGCGGCGGUGGGACCCGGAGAACAAGGGGCGCGGGAGGACCGGGUGCACGGAGGCCGCAGCCGGGGCGGGGGUCGGUGCGGGCCGCGUGAGCGCCGGGGCGGUGGCCGGGGGUCGCGGGCCGCGGCGGGCCGGGGGCGGAGGCGCAGAGGCGCAGAGGCGGAGGCCU